UCCUUCCCUGGAAGGGGUGAUGUGUCAGCACACAGCCCGAGAUAAGGACUCUGACUGCGUUUACGUGUGAUUAAACAUGUUGAGUGCUCUGACCUUCUGCGGCACUG
Molecule: small nucleolar RNA, 107 nt
Filed under: Gallus gallus (chicken)
Lineage: Eukaryota; Metazoa; Chordata; Aves; Galliformes; Phasianidae
Description: GGoCD9 small nucleolar RNA
Source: RNAcentral